GUACUCUUGCUUCAGCAGCACAUACAUUAAAAUUGGACUGAGACAGGAAGGUUAGCAUGGCCCCUGCGCAAGGAUGACAUGCAAACUCCUGAAGUGUUCUACAUGUUA
Macaca fascicularis (crab-eating macaque) is the source of this 108-nucleotide small nuclear RNA. NCBI's taxonomy places the organism in Eukaryota, Metazoa, Chordata, Mammalia, Primates, Cercopithecidae. The record is from Ensembl.